AGCAGAGCCUAUCAGCCAAAUAUCUUUAGAGCCAGAAGGUUCAUAUCACAAAGAGAUUUCCAAGUCCCAUUUGCAUUUGGACUGAAGCACAUUAGCAAACUAGAUUUUGAGGUCUGACUCAAGAAUUUUGAUGAUCUACUACAGCUUGUUAUAAAGAGCCUUUCAGCCUUUACUAUAAUUUAGGGCAAGAACCCCUGAAUUGUAGCUUUAAGUCCAAAAUCACUGUGCAGAGGAAGUGCCCUUCAAUCAUUUCAGAAAAUGUCUUGAUUGCUGGAAAUACCAUCUUACUCAUUCCAUGUGUUUCUGCAUCUCAGUUUGCUUGGCGCCAUAAGCCUACCUAAUUAUACCACAGGGCAUCUGUAGAUGUAUUUCUAACAUGGGAAAAAAUGUCAAUAAAUCUAACCAGUCGGCUGGAGAUGCCAUCAUAGCUUCAGGAUUUUUUUCCAAUCUUAAAAACAAGUUAAUAAUAUUUAAAAUGGCUAAAUGACCCCUUUCCUGUUUCCAAGCAGAGUCAGAACUUUAUUUGUACAUAAUACUCAGGUCCUGUGGAAUCAUGCCUGCCCUAGCCUGACGUCUUGAAGCCCUUCACUCAAAUGGAAACUGAUACCUUUAAGGUCAUAAAAAGCUCUGCCAGGAGAGAACAACACCAGCAUACCCAUGAUCACUAAUGACAUCCCUCCAGAAGGAGAGAAGCUUUUCAAUGGGAGGAAAUAGCCUCUGGCUGGAUAGGGACAACUCUUGGACUGAAGACCUUCUAAAAGCUUUAGAUCCUGAAUAGAAAAACUUGGUACAGAUGACGCAUUCAUGUGUACAGA
Acomys russatus (golden spiny mouse) is the source of this 815-nucleotide long non-coding RNA. RefSeq lists it as uncharacterized. The record is from RefSeq and is a predicted model, not a curated record. The transcript has 3 exons. NCBI's taxonomy places the organism in Eukaryota, Metazoa, Chordata, Mammalia, Rodentia, Muridae.